GUCGAGCGGACGACGGGAGCUUGCUCCUUAGGUCAGCGGCGGACGGGUGAGUAACACGUGGGUAACCUGCCUGUAAGACUGGGAUAACUCCGGGAAACCGGGGCUAAUACCGGAUGCUUGAUUGAACCGCAUGGUUCAAUCAUAAAAGGUGGCUUUUAGCUACCACUUACAGAUGGACCCGCGGCGCAUUAGCUAGUUGGUGAGGUAACGGCUCACCAAGGCGACGAUGCGUAGCCGACCUGAGAGGGUGAUCGGCCACACUGGGACUGAGACACGGCCCAGAACUCCUACGGGAGGCAGCAGUAGGGAAUCUUCCGCAAUGGACGAAAGUCUUGACGGAGCAACGCCGCGUGAGUGAUGAAGGUCCUCGGAUCGUAAAACUCUGUUGUUAGGGAAGAACAAGUACCGUUCGAAUAGGGCGGGCACCUUGACGGUUCCUAACCAGAAAGCCACGGCUAACUACGUGCCAGC
Molecule: ribosomal RNA, 471 nt
Filed under: uncultured Bacilli bacterium
Lineage: Bacteria; Bacillati; Bacillota; Bacilli
Description: bacterial SSU rRNA
Rfam family: Bacterial small subunit ribosomal RNA
Source: RNAcentral